Non-coding RNA from Cajanus cajan (pigeon pea), 2153 nucleotides. Lineage: Eukaryota; Viridiplantae; Streptophyta; Magnoliopsida; Fabales; Fabaceae. The record is from RefSeq and is a predicted model, not a curated record.
UUUGAGUGGAUGCGAAAAAUUGAGGCAGCUUCAUCCAUCCAUUGGUCUUCUAAGAAAGUUGACUUUUUUGAAUUUAGAAAAAUGUACAAGUCUUAUCAAGAUAAUACAAUUAAGAGAGAACCUAAAUCUUGAAAGACUAAAUCUUCGAGGAUGUAUACAACUCAAGGAGUUUAAUAUAUCCAUUGGUUUUAUGCAAAAGCUUACCCGUUUAGAUUUGAGUGGGUGUGAAAAUCUAGUAAGCUUAACCGAUAGCAUAUUGUGCCUAAAUUCUCUAGAAUAUUUGAAUCUCUCUCUGGCUGUCAAAAAUUGUUUAAUAUAUCAAGGAAUGAAGAGCAAAUGAAGAAGCUUUGUAUAGAUGAAUCUCCGAUUUGUUCGCACUCAACAUCGUCCAUCAUGAAAAGGUGGUUUAUGUCACCUUUACAUUUGUUGCAUUCUAGAGCACGUACAGGUUCAGUUUUAAAUGGUUUGGUUUGGUUCGGUUUUUUUGCACACCCCUACCUACACUUGCUUGUAUGCUUGAACUUCAUCUAAAUUUCUGCAAUUUAGUUGAAAUACCUGAUGCUAUUGGAAAUUUACAUUUCUUAGAAAUCCUAAAUUUAAUGGGAAACAAUUUUUCCACACUGCCUAGCCUCAAGGAGCUUUCCAAGCUGCAACUUUUAAAUUUAAAGGACUGUAGGCAGUUGAAAUAUUUGCCUAAUCUUCCUUCACGAACUGACUUGUCAUCUAAAAGGUCGCUCCCAGAGUCUUUUUCUAGCAAAAAAGACCCAUGGGCAUUUGAGAGAUUUUACGACUACAUGGAAGCAGGAUUAAAUACUUUUGGUUGUCCAGAAUUAAUUGAAUUGGAACGUUGCACUAGCACGGCUUUAUCAUGGACGCUACAAAUUCUACUUCAGGUUCACUACCAAUACAUACUUCCGUCUCUGUGGAACAUUCCUUUUCCUAGCAUCAUUUCAAGUAUUAUUGGAGGAAGUGAAAUACCUAGUUGGUUCAACAAUCAUCGCGAAGGCAUGGGCAGUAUAAUAACCAUAGAUGAAUCUCCCCUUAUGCACAAAGGCAAUAAUUGCAUUGCUCUUGCUUGUUGUGUAGUAUUUGGACCUCCUGCUUCUCGAAGAAAAGCUCCUCCAAUUAUACACUCACUUAAUCAUGUUUCUGUUCCCUUUCUUUGCGCUGAAGAUCGAAUUACGGAAGAUCACUUGUGGUGGUUCUAUGUUACAAGUGGAAGCCAUAUUUGGUCAACCAAGUAUGAAAAUUUGAAAUUGCAAUUUCACAUAAUAAGGGAGUCGGACAUUGAAAGUUGGAGUUUUCACGGGAAGAAAUAUGGGUAUCGUUGGGUAUAUGAGAAGGACUUAGAAGAAUCAAACUUGACAAUGAUAUGCAGCCGGUGAGCUUGGAAGCACAACUUUUUGGCAAUUGAAGAAAACAAAUAGCAACUUCAUUUCAGCUUCACUUUCAUCAUAUAGAAGGAUUGGAGGCAUAAUUCAAUAUGGAUGCAAGAUUUGCAGCAUUACACCAAACAAAGAUGCACAGUAGAAUUCAAAUUCACAAUGACUUCAGGGAUGUGCAGUCCAAUCUUUUCUAUGAAAGCUCUACUAAUGUUAAAAUUAGUGCUACUUUGUUUGAAUAAACUCAUGAUAGAAGAAAUGAUCAUGUUCAUGGUGGAACUUAACAUUUUCAUGAGUGUCCUUUCACUCAACUUAUUAAGAUGACUCUUGGCAAAUGGAGAACGGAUGCUCCAAAUUCUCAUUGGAAAACAGAAUCAAGUUGUUGCAUAAUCAAUUUCCACCUCUUGAACCUGUAGGAUCCUUCUGUUGAUUUUGAUCCAGGCAGAUUUUCCCCUGUGGUCUAACAUGUGAGGGCUUUACAGUUUCAAAGAAAAGUAAAAACAAAAAAGAAUGAAGUGACAUUGCCCAACACUCUCUCUGCUGCAACAUUAUGAGAACAGGAUGAAAGACUGACAAGAAGACCACUAUAUCAAUGUUUGUUUGAUUCAUUAAGUUAAAUUUAUGACUAAAUUGUAAUUUGAUUAUUAUAUUGACGUAGUGGCAGCUGGUCUCUCUCUACUCUUGUUUACAAAAUGUAAUUUCACAUAAACCUUCUUUAACAACAUAGAGGAACAAGAACAAACGGAGUACAAAAACUGUUUUUAUUAUAAA